AGCAGCCGCGGUAAUUCCAGCUCCAAUAGCGUAUAUUAAAGUUGCUGCAGUUAAAAAGCUCGUAGUUGAAUUUCGGGACCAUCAUGUCGGUCGUGCCUCGGUACGUACUGGUAUUGUUGGUUUCUCCCUUCUGACGAACCAUGAUGUCAUUUAUUUGGUGUUGUGGGGAAUCAGGACUGUUACUUUGAAAAAUUAGAGUGUUUAAAGCAGGCUCACGCUUGAAUACAUUAGCAUGGAAUAAUGAAAUAGGACGUUUGAUUCUAUUUUGUGUUUCUAGGAUCGACGUAAUGAUUAAUAGGGAUAGUUGGGGCAUUAGUAUUCAAUUGUCAGAGGUGAAAUUCUUGGAUUUAUUGAAGACUAACGUACUGCGAAAGCAUUGCCAAGGAUGUUUCAUUAAUCAAGAACGAAAGUUAGGGAUACGAAGACGAUCAG
This 432-nucleotide ribosomal RNA is filed under the name uncultured Glomus. Its description in RNAcentral is "SSU rRNA". It matches the Rfam family "Eukaryotic small subunit ribosomal RNA", at positions 569 to 1011 of the family's 1831-position model. The record is from RNAcentral. Lineage: Eukaryota; Fungi; Glomeromycota; Glomeromycetes; Glomerales; Glomeraceae.